Molecule: ribosomal RNA, 1945 nt
Filed under: metagenome
Description: bacterial LSU rRNA
Rfam family: Bacterial large subunit ribosomal RNA
Source: RNAcentral
GAAGAGAAAAUAAAGUAAUGAUUCUGUGAGUAGUGGCGAGCGAAAGCGGAAGAGACUAAACCUGUGGUGUGUGAUAGCGGUUAGGCGUUGCAUCAUGGGGGUUGUGGGAGUCACAGUGGCGGUUCUAACUGGCUGCCGGCAUGAUGUUCAGGAUGGUAGGUGAACGACUUGGAAUGGUCGGCCGUAGAGGGUGAGAGUCCCGUAAUCGAAAUUGUUCUGUCCGUGGUGUGGCCACCCGAGUAGCACGGGGCUCGUGGAAUCUCGUGUGAAUCUGCCAGGACCACCUGGUAAGUCUAAAUACUUCUUAGUGACCGAUAGUGAAUCAGUACCGUGAGGGAAUGGUGAAAAGUACCCCGGGAGGGGAGUGAAAUAGUACCUGAAACCGUGUGCUUACAAGCCGUUGGAGCCUUUUGGGGUGACAGCGUGCCUUUUGAAGAAUGAGCCUGCGAGUUAGUGUUAUGUCGCGAGGUUAACCCGUGUGGGGUAUCCGUAGCGAAAGCGAGUCUGAAUAGGGCGUUUGAGUGGCAUGACCUAGACCCGAAGCGGAGUGAUCUAUCCAUGGCCAGGUUGAAGCGACGGUAAGACGUCGUGGAGGACCGAACCCACUUCAGUUGAAAAUGGAGGGGAUGAGCUGUGGAUAGGGGUGAAAGGCCAAUCAAACUCUGUGAUAGCUGGUUCUCCCCGAAAUGCAUUUAGGUGCAGCGUUACGUGUUUCUUGCCGGAGGUAGAGCUACUGGAUGGCCGAUGGGCCUUCACGGGUUACUGACGUCAGCUAAACUCCGAAUGCCGGUAAGUGAGAGCGUAGCAGUGAGACAGUGGGGGAUAAGCUUCAUUGUCGAGAGGGAAACAGCCCAGACCACCAACUAAGGCCCCUAAGCGUGUGCUAAGUGGGAAAGGAUGUGGAGUUGCUUAGACAACCAGGAGGUUGGCUUAGAAGCAGCCACCCUUGAAAGAGUGCGUAACAGCUCACUGGUCAAGUGAUUCUGCGCCGAUAAUGUAGCGGGGCUCAAGUACACCGCCGAAGUUGUGGCAAUGAUCUUUUUGGAUUGUUGGGUAGGGGAGCGUCGUGUGGCCGUUGAAGCUGCGGUGUAAACCAGUGGUGGAGGCUAUGCGAGUGAGAAUGCAGGCAUGAGUAGCGAAAGAUGAGUGAGAAACUCAUCCGCCGGAUGAUCAAGGGUUCCAGGGUCAAGUUAAUCUGCCCUGGGUUAGUCGGGGCCUAAGGCGAGGCCGACAGGCGUAGUCGAUGGAUAACGGGUUGAUAUUCCCGUACCGGUGAAGAACCGCCCAUACUGAUAUUGUGAUGCUAACCAUGCGAAGCAUGAUGUGCAGGCUUUUGUUUGUGUGUUGUGUGGGUUGUGGGGCCCGAUCUUUGGAGGUAAACGUGUUAACAGGUGUGACGCAGGAAGGUAGCCAAGCCACGCGAUGGUUGUCGUGGUCUAAGCGUGUAGGGUUGUCGGUUGUUAAAUGCGCCGGCUGUGUGCCUGAGACGUGAUGGGACCCUGUUUUUGGGGGAUUUGGUGAUCCUAUGCUGCCGAGAAAAGCAUCGGCGUGAGGUUUUAGCCGCCCGUACCCUAAACCGACACAGGUGAUCAGGUAGAGAAUACUAAGGCGAUCGAGAGAAUCAUGGUUAAGGAACUCGGCAAAAUGCCCCCGUAACUUCGGGAGAAGGGGGACCUUGAGCGUGAUGGGCACUUGCUGCCUGGAGCGUGUAUGGGUCGCAGAGACCAGGGGGAAGCGACUGUUUAUCAAAAACACAGGUCCGUGCGAAGUCGUAAGACGAUGUAUACGGACUGACUCCUGCCCGGUGCUGGAAGGUUAAGAGGAUUGGUUAGCCUUUGUGGCGAAGCUGAGAAUUUAAGCCCCAGUAAACGGCGGUGGUAACUAUAACCAUCCUAAGGUAGCGAAAUUCCUUGUCGGGUAAGUUCCGACCUGCACGAAUGGCGUA